Molecule: non-coding RNA, 27 nt
Filed under: Mus musculus (house mouse)
Lineage: Eukaryota; Metazoa; Chordata; Mammalia; Rodentia; Muridae
Source: RNAcentral
UUUCCGGGGCGACUGAGAAGUUAUUCU